GAGUACGGUCGCAAGACUGAAACUCAAAGGAAUUGACGGGGACCCGCACAAGCAGUGGAGUAUGUGGUUUAAUUCGAAGCAACGCGAAGAACCUUACCAGGUCUUGACAUCCAACUAACGAGGCAGAGAUGCGUUAGGUGCCCUUCGGGGAAAGUUGAGACAGGUGGUGCAUGGUUGUCGUCAGCUCGUGUCGUGAGAUGUUGGGUUAAGUCCCGCAACGAGCGCAACCCUUGACUUUAGUUG
Molecule: ribosomal RNA, 243 nt
Filed under: Paenibacillus agri
Lineage: Bacteria; Bacillati; Bacillota; Bacilli; Caryophanales; Paenibacillaceae
Description: Bacterial small subunit ribosomal RNA
Rfam family: Bacterial small subunit ribosomal RNA
Source: Rfam by way of RNAcentral